Molecule: ribosomal RNA, 372 nt
Filed under: uncultured bacterium
Lineage: Bacteria
Description: bacterial SSU rRNA
Rfam family: Bacterial small subunit ribosomal RNA
Source: RNAcentral
UACGGAAGGUCCAGGCGUUAUCCGGAUUUAUUGGGUUUAAAGGGAGCGUAGGCCGUCUGUUAAGCGUGUUGUGAAAUGUAGAUGCUCAACAUCUGAAUUGCAGCGCGAACUGGCAGACUUGAGUGUGCGCAACGUAGGCGGAAUUCGUGGUGUAGCGGUGAAAUGCUUAGAUAUCACGAAGAACUCCGAUUGCGAAGGCAGCUUACGGGAGCACAACUGACGCUGAAGCUCGAAAGUGCGGGUAUCGAACAGGAUUAGAUACCCUGGUAGUCCGCACGGUAAACGAUGGAUGCCCGCUGUUGACCCACCUGGGCCAGCGGCCAAGCGAAAGCAUUAAGCAUCCCACCUGGGGAGUACGCCGGCAACGGUGAA